Molecule: ribosomal RNA, 497 nt
Filed under: uncultured bacterium
Lineage: Bacteria
Description: partial 16S ribosomal RNA
Rfam family: Bacterial small subunit ribosomal RNA
Source: RNAcentral
GAUGAACGCUGGCGGCGUGCCUAAUACAUGCAAGUCGAGCGAACGGACGAGAAGCUUGCUUCUCUGAUGUUAGCGGCGGACGGGUGAGUAACACGUGGAUAACCUACCUAUAAGACUGGGAUAACUUCGGGAAACCGUAGCUAAUACCGGAUAAUAUUUUGAACCGCAUGGUUCAAAAGUGAAAGACGGUCUUGCUGUCACUUAUAGAUGGAUCCGCGCUGCAUUAGCUAGUUGGUAAGGUAACGGCUUACCAAGGCAACGAUGCAUAGCCGACCUGAGAGGGUGAUCGGCCACACUGGAACUGAGACACGGUCCAGACCCCUGCGGGAGGCAGCAGUAGGGAAUCUUCCGCAAUGGGCGAAAACCUUACGGAGCAACGCCGCGUGAGUGAUGAAGGUCUUCGGAUCGUAAAACUCUGUUAUUAGGGAAGAACAUAUGUGUAAGUAACUGUGCACAUCUUGACGGUACCUAAUCAGAAAGCCACGGCUAACUACGUG